AGGUUGGGUAACACUAACUGGAGGACCGAACCGACUAAUGUUGAAAAAUUAGCGGAUGACCUGUGGCUGGGGGUGAAAGGCCAAUCAAACCGGGAGAUAGCUGGUUCUCCCCGAAAGCUAUUUAGGUAGCGCCUCGUGAAUUCAUCUCCGGGGGUAGAGCACUGUUUCGGCUAGGGGGCCAUCCCGGCUUACCAACCCGAUGCAAACUGCGAAUACCGGAGAAUGUUAUCACGGGAGACACACGGCGGGUGCUAACGUCCGUCGUGAAGAGGGAAACAACCCAGACCGCCAGCUAAGGUCCCAAAGUCAUGGUUAAGUGGGAAACGAUGUGGGAAGGCCCAGACAGCCAGGAUGUUGGCUUAGAAGCAGCCAUCAUUUAAAGAAAGCGUAAUAGCUCACUGGUCGAGUCGGCCUGCGCGGAAGAUGUAACGGGGCUAAACCAUGCACCGAAGCUGCGGCAGCGACACUGUGUGUUGUUGGGUAGGGGAGCGUUCUGUAAGCCUGUGAAGGUGUGUCGUGAGGCAUGCUGGAGGUAUCAGAAGUGCGAAUGCUGACAUAAGUAACGAUAAAGCGGGUGAAAAGCCCGCUCGCCGGAAGACCAAGGGUUCCUGUCCAACGUUAAUCGGGGCAGGGUGAGUCGACCCCUAAGGCGAGGCCGAAAGGCGUAGUCGAUGGGAAACGGGUUAAUAUUCCCGUACUUGGUGUUACUGCGAAGGGGGGACGGAGAAGGCUAUGUUGGCCGGGCGACGGUUGUCCCGGUUUAAGCGUGUAGGUGUGUGUUCCAGGUAAAUCCGGUUCACUUUAACACUGAGGCGUGACGACGAGGCACUACGGUGCUGAAGCAACAAAUGCCCUGCUUCCAGGAAAAGCCUCUAAGCAUCAGGUAACAUCAAAUCGUACCCCAAACCGACACAGGUGGUCAGGUAGAGAAUACCAAGGCGCUUGAGAGAACUCGGGUGAAGGAACUAGGCAAAAUGGUGCCGUAACUUCGGGAGAAGGCACGCUGACACGUAGGUGAAGUGAUUUACUCAUGGAGCUGAAGUCAGUCGAAGAUACCAGCUGGCUGCAACUGUUUAUUAAAAACACAGCACUGUGCAAACACGAAAGUGGACGUAUACGGUGUGACGCCUGCCCGGUGCCGGAAGGUUAAUUGAUGGGGUCAGCGCAAGCGAAGCUCCUGAUCGAAGCCCCGGUAAACGGCGGCCGUAACUAUAACGGUCCUAAGGUAGCGAAAUUCCUUGUCGGGUAAGUUCCGACCUGCACGAAUGGCGUAAUGAUGGCCAGGCUGUCUCCACCCGAGACUCAGUGAAAUUGAACUCGCUGUGAAGAUGCAGUGUACCCGCGGCAAGACGGAAAGACCCCGUGAACCUUUACUAUAGCUUGACACUGAACAUUGAGCCUUGAUGUGUAGGAUAGGUGGGAGGCUUUGAAGUGUGGACGCCAGUCUGCAUGGAGCCGACCUUGAAAUACCACCCUUUAAUGUUUGAUGUUCUAACGUGGACCCGUUACCCGGGUUGCGGACAGUGUCUGGUGGGUAGUUUGACUGGGGCGGUCUCCUCCUAAAGAGUAACGGAGGAGCACGAAGGUUGGCUAAUCCUGGUCGGACAUCAGGAGGUUAGUGCAAUGGCAUAAGCCAGCUUGACUGCGAGCGUGACGGCGCGAGCAGGUGCGAAAGCAGGUCAUAGUGAUCCGGUGGUUCUGAAUGGAAGGGCCAUCGCUCAACGGAUAAAAGGUACUCCGGGGAUAACAGGCUGAUACCGCCCAAGAGUUCAUAUCGACGGCGGUGUUUGGCACCUCGAUGUCGGCUCAUCACAUCCUGGGGCUGAAGUAGGUCCCAAGGGUAUGGCUGUUCGCCAUUUAAAGUGGUACGCGAGCUGGGUUUAGAACGUCGUGAGACAGUUCGGUCCCUAUCUGCCGUGGGCGCUGGAGAACUGAGGGGGGCUGCUCCUAGUACGAGAGGACCGGAGUGGACGCAUCACUGGUGUUCGGGUUGUCAUGCCAAUGGCACUGCCCGGUAGCUAAAUGCGGAAGAGAUAAGUGCUGAAAGCAUCUAAGCACGAAACUUGCCCCGA
RNAcentral lists this ribosomal RNA (2072 nucleotides) under Salmonella enterica subsp. enterica serovar Enteritidis. RNAcentral describes it as "partial 23S ribosomal RNA". It matches the Rfam family "Bacterial large subunit ribosomal RNA", at positions 749 to 2802 of the family's 2925-position model. The record is from RNAcentral. Lineage: Bacteria; Pseudomonadati; Pseudomonadota; Gammaproteobacteria; Enterobacterales; Enterobacteriaceae.